Molecule: ribosomal RNA, 445 nt
Filed under: uncultured bacterium
Lineage: Bacteria
Description: partial 16S ribosomal RNA
Rfam family: Bacterial small subunit ribosomal RNA
Source: RNAcentral
GUAAGGAAUAUUGGUCAAUGGACGAAAGUCUGAACCAGCCAUGCCGCGUGGAGGAUGAAGGUCCUCUGGAUUGUAAACUUCUUUUAUCUGGGACGAAAAAAGGUCUUUCUAGAUCGUCUGACGGUACCAGAUGAAUAAGCACCGGCUAACUCCGUGCCAGCAGCCGCGGUAAUACGGAGGGUGCAAGCGUUAUCCGGAUUCACUGGGUUUAAAGGGUGCGUAGGUGGGUUGGUAAGUCAGUGGUGAAAUCUUCGAGCUUAACUCGGAAACUGCCAUUGAUACUAUCAGUCUUGAAUAUUGUGGAGGUUAGCGGAAUAUGUCAUGUAGCGGUGAAAUGCUUAGAUAUGACAUAGAACACCAAUUGCGAAGGCAGCUGGCUACACAUAUAUUGACACUGAGGCACGAAAGCGUGGGGAUCAAACAGGAUUAGAAACCCGAGUAGUCC